This 492-nucleotide ribosomal RNA is filed under the name uncultured bacterium. RNAcentral's name for it is "partial 16S ribosomal RNA". It matches the Rfam family "Bacterial small subunit ribosomal RNA", at positions 29 to 507 of the family's 1533-position model. The record is from RNAcentral.
AGUGAACGCUGGCGGUAGGCCUAACACAUGCAAGUCGAACGGCAGCACAGUAAGAGCUUGCCCUUACGGGUGGCGAGUGGCGGACGGGUGAGGAAUACAUCGGAAUCUACUUUUUCGUGGGGGAUAACGUAGGGAAACUUACGCUAAUACCGCAUACGACCUACGGGUGAAAGCAGGGGAUCUUCGGACCUUGCGCGAUUGAAUGAGCCGAUGUCGGAUUAGCUAGUUGGCGGGGUAAAGGCCCACCAAGGCGACGAUCCGUAGCUGGUCUGAGAGGAUGAUCAGCCACACUGGAACUGAGACACGGUCCAGACUCCUACGGGAGGCAGCAGUGGGGAAUAUUGGACAAUGGGCGCAAGCCUGAUCCAGCCAUACCGCGUGGGUGAAGAAGGCCUUCGGGUUGUAAAGCCCUUUUGUUGGGAAAGAAAAGCAGCAGGUUAAUACCCCGCUGUUAUGACGGUACCCAAAGAAUAAGCACCGGCUAACUUCGUG